This is a long non-coding RNA of Siniperca chuatsi (mandarin fish), 303 nucleotides long. RefSeq lists it as uncharacterized. The record is from RefSeq and is a predicted model, not a curated record. Lineage: Eukaryota; Metazoa; Chordata; Actinopteri; Centrarchiformes; Sinipercidae. The transcript is spliced from 3 exons.
AUGGGAGGCUGGGAGAAAGGUAAAGAAAUGAAGAUUGAAGACAGAGGACAGGGAAAAGACAUUGCCAUGUACUGUAUAGACAUUUGUUUUUGUUUACUCCUUUCCAGCUAGAUCACAUGCACCAGCAAAGACUUUCUAUGGUACCAGACGAGGGUGCAAUACCAGUCAUCAGCCUGUCUUCAUGGGGGAGUCGAGUGAAUUAUGCUCUGAACCUCACAUGCACACACACGCUCAGGUGCACAACAAGCAUGCACAGAGCAAUCCAGAAGACCAAAACAGAAGAGGAGCAGGGAGGACAGAGGA